This 467-nucleotide ribosomal RNA is filed under the name uncultured bacterium. RNAcentral's name for it is "partial 16S ribosomal RNA". It matches the Rfam family "Bacterial small subunit ribosomal RNA", at positions 29 to 507 of the family's 1533-position model. The record is from RNAcentral.
ACGAACGCUGGCGGCGUGCUUAACACAUGCAAGUCGAACGGAAAGGCCCUGCUUUUGUGGGGUGCUCGCGUGGCGAACGGGUGAGUAACACGUGAGUAACCUGCCCUUGACUUUGGGAUAACUUCAGGAAACUGGGGCUAAUACCGGAUAGGAGCUCCUGCUGCAUGGUGGGGGUUGGAAAGUUUCGGCGGUUGGGGAUGGACUCGCGGCUUAUCAGCUUGUUGGUGGGGUAGUGGCUUACCAAGGCUUUGACGGGUAGCCGGCCUGAGAGGGUGACCGGCCACAUUGGGACUGAGAUACGGCCCAGACUCCUACGGGAGGCAGCAGUGGGGAAUAUUGAACAAUGGGCGGAAGCCUGAUGCAGCAACGCCGCGUGCGGGAUGACGGCCUUCGGGUUGUAAACCGCUUUCGCCUGUGACGAAGCGUGAGUGACGGUAAUGGGUAAAGAAGCACCGGCUAACUACGUG